RNAcentral lists this long non-coding RNA (1561 nucleotides) under Oryctolagus cuniculus (rabbit). RNAcentral's name for it is "lncRNA (ENSOCUG00000036338.1)". The record is from RNAcentral. Lineage: Eukaryota; Metazoa; Chordata; Mammalia; Lagomorpha; Leporidae.
AACACAGCGCGUGUUUGGGCGGUGGGCUCCGUCCACACCCAGCACACAGAGCUGUCUCCUCGUGGGGGCCCCGUCCACACCCAGCACACAGAGCUGUCCCCGUGGGCCCCGUCCACACCCAGCACACAGAGCUGUCCCCGUGGGCCCAGUCCACACCCAUAACACAGCGCUGUCCCCGUGGGCCCCGUCCUCACCCAGCACACAGAGCUGUCCCCGUGGGCCCCGUCCACACCCAGCACACAGAGCUGUCCCCGUGGGCCCCGUCCUCACCCAGCACACAGAGCUGUCCCCGUGGGGGCCCCGUCCUCACCCAGCACACAGAGCUGUCCCCGUGGGCCCCGUCCUCACUCAGCACACAGAGCUGUCCCCGUGGGGCCCCGUCCUCACUCAGCACACAGAGCUGUCCCCGUGGGCCCCGUCCUCACCCAGCACACAGAGCUGUCCCCGUGGGCCCCGUCCUCACCCAGCACACAGAGCUGUCCCCGUGGGCCCCGUCCUCACCCAGCACACAGAGCUGUCCCCGUGGGCCCCAUCCACACUGCAGUGUGACAGGGUCGGAGGGGGCAGUUCACGACAUAACAAGAGACUAUAGUAAGCAUUAAUAGAUAUCGCUUAAAACGUAAAAAUCAACAACUUUAUUAUUUAGAAAAAGUGAUAAACAUCAAAAUACUGUUACCGGAGGAUGGAGGGUUCUUGCCUUCGCGCAAGAAGGAAUUCAGGCGUGAGACAGAGUGGUGGAAAGUAGAAGUAGCAAAGUUUAUUAGGGAAGGGACAUGCGUAAGGACGGAUGGGCACCUCUCCAGACAGGACCUGGGAGAGAGUGCCAGUCGCUCAGACUUGGGGGGGGGGGUGCGGGGGGGUGGAGGUUACAUGGUUGAGUGGAGAGAUUAUACCUGGCCUGGCGGGCAGGCGGCUCAGCAGAGAGGCAGAGGGCUGAGCGCGCAGUCCGGUUGAGGCCGGGGGUUUUUAAGGAGAUGGGUCUCUGUCUUCAUACAUCUCCUCCUGAAACAAAGGAUUUUAUGGCUGUAAAUAUUAAGAAGCUCCCAUCUGAGUUUUCCCUGAAGGUAUCAGACAGGAGGAAGUUAGCUGGCGCCGUCCUGGGUUCAGAGGAAGGGUGAGCAGGACCCCCUGGAGAAUGGGGAUCUGAGCAGGGUGUUUGAGAUGCAGACCCUGGGCUGCAUCUGGGAGAUUUGUCAGGCAGGAGGGGCGGGGACCCCCACCUGGCAGGUUAUCGGAUAGGAGGGGGCAGGGCAGGAUGCGGACACGGGGCUGCCCCUGAAACGUUAUCAGGAUGACUUUGAGAUGCAGAUGCAGAUGCUGGACAUAGACGUCUUCUCUUUUGGCCUUUGUCACACACGCAUGCGCUCAUGUCUGACUUCCCACCCAACAACACGAGGAGACAGCUGAUUGCCGCCGAGAUGGACAAACGCGUGGCGGGAGCCGGAGCUGCUGGUUUGGGUUUGACUUGAUUUCUUUUAACAAACCUUACAGAUCUGUCUACUGCUUUACCCUGCAUUCAAGUGGAACCUGCAUAGAAAUAAAAAAAUAUUUCUCUUUAGCA